This 488-nucleotide ribosomal RNA is filed under the name uncultured bacterium. Its description in RNAcentral is "bacterial SSU rRNA". It matches the Rfam family "Bacterial small subunit ribosomal RNA", at positions 15 to 507 of the family's 1533-position model. The record is from RNAcentral.
GAUCAUGGCUCAGGAUGAACGCUGGCGGCGUGCUUAACACAUGCAAGUCGAACGAUGAACCGGAGCUUGCUCUGGGGAUUAGUGGCGAACGGGUGAGUAACACGUGGGCAACCUGCCCCAGACACCGGGAUAACCAUUGGAAACGAUGGCUAAUACCGGAUACGACCACUUCGGGCAUCCGAUGGUGGUGGAAAGGAUUCUGGUCUGGGAUGGGCCCGCGGCCUAUCAGCUUGUUGGUGGGGUAAUGGCCUACCAAGGCUUCGACGGGUAGCCGGCCUGAGAGGGUGACCGGCCACACUGGGACUGAGACACGGCCCAGACUCCUACGGGAGGCAGCAGUGGGGAAUAUUGGACAAUGGGCGGAAGCCUGAUCCAGCAACGCCGCGUGAGGGAUGACGGCCUUCGGGUUGUAAACCUCUUUCAGUACCGACGAAGCGCCGAUGAUGGUGGUGACGGUAGGUACAGAAGAAGCACCGGCCAACUACGUG